Long non-coding RNA from Meriones unguiculatus (Mongolian gerbil), 3007 nucleotides. RefSeq lists it as uncharacterized. The record is from RefSeq and is a predicted model, not a curated record. Lineage: Eukaryota; Metazoa; Chordata; Mammalia; Rodentia; Muridae. The transcript is spliced from 5 exons.
CUGUGGCCAUACUAGUUCCAAAGGCCUAUAGCUGCGUGGUCCUGCCAAGUGGGUAGUUUGACAGGCCCUGCUCACUCCCCUCUCAGCAGGAUUUCCAGGGAAUCUGGAGAUGGGCCAGUUGCAGUGCCGGUACUCUGGCUGGUGUGAGACCAUGGGUACAUGGAUUCCUAUUUCUGCAUCUAAGCAAGCAGAGUAUUGGCUUGGAGAGUGUGUAGAGGGGGUUCUAGCUGGCCCGUUACUUUAUUUGUUUUUAAGAAUUGUGUAGGGUGGGGUGGCCUCACACUUGUUAUCUCACUGAGGCUGGCCCAAACAUCUUUUCUUUCUGCUUACUUCUCCUGAGUGUUGGGAUUACAAGUGUAAACUACCAUGCCUAGACUUUUAUACUCUGUCUUUUUUAUCUGUUCUUCUGGAGGGGUGUGUGUGUGCCCAUGUAUGCUGUUAAAAAAAAAAGUGCUGUGUAACAAGUCACCCCAGACAUGGGGAUAUGAAACAAGGAUGGUCAGGAAUUCAAGGUAUGGGGACAGAAGGGCACUGUGGUUCUAAACCACUUGUAGCUUGCAGCAAUGUGCCUGUUUGGGGCUACCAUCAGCGCAGGGCUCACCUGGAAAGCACCUGCUUCCUGACUCACUCCCUUAGGGAGAUUAAGUUCCUCCUGAAGGAAUCCUGGGCUACUCAGCUAGCAGGAGGGCAGCGCCUGUCCCAUAGAGGGCUCUGAAGAAAAAGCCAAAGCCAGUGUGCUCUGGUGGAGGCUCACCUUGGAAAUGGUACCCAUCACUGCUUUCCUAUCCUAUUUAUUAGGGUGCAUCACUAGGCCUCUCGUGCCCUUGGAGACUAAAUGAGAGUGUUGAUAUAACAAAGCGGGAAUCGUGGAGACAUUUUGGAAGCUUCCCACCUUAGAAAGCAGAGACUGCAUUUCUGGAGACAAACGCAGCAAGUUUCCUAUCUGGCUCUGAUGCUCAUGAUCUCAGGCCAAAGGUUUCAGCCUUGGAGCUUUGGCUUCCCUGACUGUGUGAUACUUGUGGUAGCUGCUGGCUGGGCUGAGCUGAGGUCGCUAGGAGAUGAAGUGACUGUCAGUCUCUAAGCUGUGUCUGGCCUAGUGAAACCUCGACUCCUGGUUGAAAGGACAUUUCUUAGGAGAAGCUGAGUACCAAGCCAUUGCUCCUGAGAUACACAAGUCCCCCUGCAGCGGCCAGCUCCUGGGGACUCGGGACUCCAAAGCCCUUUGGCAAGCCCUGGGCUGCCUCUGUGGCUGAGGCCACAGGUGGGGACAGUGUUGAUCCCCUCUCUGUUCCGUGGCCGUCCCAGCACGACUCGGGCACAGGUGCAGCAGGAAGGAUUAGAUGGGAUUUUCUCCCAGCCCUGCUCAGACCCUGUUCUCGGUGGGCGAAGGAUUUGACCCAAACUCCCCUACACCAUCUGCCCUUCCAGGCUGGAGUCUUUUGUGAGCCUGUCACUGACUCACCACGUUCUUUGACGGUCUUCCUGGGGUCCCAGAUGCCCUGGUCAUGGUCUUGUUCCUUCUAUGGGCCUAAAGAGUCUGUCUAGAAGCAGAAGGCUGAGCCCCAUCCCUGGGCAGCACAGGGCAUUAAAGUAUUUUCCAGGACAUAGCUGGCCUUCCUUGUCAUGCUGCUCUGCUGUCUUGUUCUGAGACAGGGCCUUACCGUGCUCUUUUGAAGAAUUUUUUAUUACUUUGUGGGGUAUGUGUGUGUUGUGCCUGUGAGUACAUGUUGGGCUUGUGGAGGACAGAGAGCAGCUUUCAGGAACGCCUUCCAACUCAGGCUGCUGUCCGGCAUGCACAGCUUCACUUUCUGAGCCUCGCAAUUAUUUUUUGAAAUCCUUCUGCCUCCACCUCCCAAAUGCUGCAAUCACUGAUAGGUACAACCAUACCCUACUCCAAGCUCCAUUCUUUUGGAAGCAGGAGCUCAUGUCUAGGCUGGCUUUGAAUGCACUGUGUUGCCAAGACUGAUCUUGAAACCCUAACCUUCCUGCCUCCAUCUCCUCCAUGGUGAAAUGUCAGGCUGUACUGUUGAGCCCAACUCCCUCAAGAUGAUCUUUUUAUUGUUGUAAUUGUUGUUUUUGCCUUUUAGUUUUAUUUUUAUAUUUCGGAGACAAGGUCUCUGACUGGCCUAGGACUUCCUAUGUAGGCCAGGCUGGCCUUGAACUCAUAGACUCUGGAGGGCUCAACCGCUUCAGUUCUGAAAUUCAAGACUGCAGGCAUGUGCCACCAUGCCAGGUUCCAGGAUGGAUUCUUCCUGCAAUGAGAGGAUAAAUUCCUUCCUAAUCGGCGUUCCCAUCAUCCCCCAUUGUAUGUGGGUAGGGAGGUUGCCCACAGAAGUUUACAAGAUGGCAGCUCUUCAGAACAAAACCAUCAAGAACAAAAGCCUGUUCCACGAGCCCUUCUCCUACUCGCUGCCAUUUGUCCAGUGAAGGAGAUGUGUACAGAGGCAUGAAGGGACGCGCCCGGGAUCACACAGCUUUUAAACUGAGACGACUGUCUUCAGUCACUCACUGACCCAACAGCAAGGCCCAGGCCCUGGCCCAGGCCGUGGAGGACUAUGGUGAGGAUGUGAGCUCUUGACCACCCUGCUCCAGCCACUAUACUGCUUGCUGCCAUGCCUCCCGGUUAUGAUGGACUCUUAUCCGUCCGGAACCAUAAAUACAAAUAAAGUCUUCUAUGAGUUGUCCUGGCCCUGGCCUUUUGUCAAAGUAACACAAAGCUCCUGUGAUGGCACUGUGGCUGUUAGCCUCACCUGCCUACAGCGACUCAGCGCCAGUGGCCACGUCAUCACCAGCUGCCGGAUGUGACACAAGUACCCUUUAAAAGAUCCCCUCCAUUACCAGCCGCUCUCUGUCUCCCAGUCUCUCUGGCUGUCUGUUUGUCUGUCUCUCUUUUGCUAUGUUUGUCUCUUACUCUCUGUUUCUUUGUCUAUCUCUGUCUCUUGUUCUCUCUGUGUGUGUAUGUCUGUCUGUCUGUCUCUGCUCUAUCUCCCUGCCUUCAAUAAAUCUU